AGUCAAUAGAUACCCUGGUAGUCCACGCCGUAAACGAUGAGUACUAGGUGGUAGGAGGUACUCGACUCCUUCUGUGCCGCAGUUAACACAAUAAGUACUCCGCCUGGGAAGUACGGUCGCAAGAUUAAAACUCAAAGGAAUUGACGGGGGCCCGCACAAGCAGCGGAGCAUGUGGUUUAAUUCGAAGCAACGCGAAGAACCUUACCUAGACUUGACAUCUCCUGAAUAGCGCAGAGAUGCGUGAAGCCCUUCGGGGCAGGAAGACAGGUGGUGCAUGGUUGUCGUCAGCUCGUGUCGUGAGAUGUUGGGUUAAGUCCCGCAGCGAGCGCAACCCCUAUUAUUAGUUGCUACCAUUAAGUUGAGCACUCUAAUGAGACUGCCCGGGUUAACCGGGAGGAAGGCGGGGAUGACGUCAAAUCAUCAUGCCCCUUAUGUCUAGGGCUACACACGUGCUACAAUGGUGAGAACAACGAGAUGCAAUACCGCGAGGUGGAGC
This 496-nucleotide ribosomal RNA is filed under the name uncultured bacterium. RNAcentral describes it as "bacterial SSU rRNA". It matches the Rfam family "Bacterial small subunit ribosomal RNA", at positions 774 to 1268 of the family's 1533-position model. The record is from RNAcentral.